This 411-nucleotide ribosomal RNA is filed under the name Pseudoalteromonas phenolica. RNAcentral's name for it is "partial 23S ribosomal RNA". It matches the Rfam family "Bacterial large subunit ribosomal RNA", at positions 499 to 906 of the family's 2925-position model. Lineage: Bacteria; Pseudomonadati; Pseudomonadota; Gammaproteobacteria; Alteromonadales; Pseudoalteromonadaceae. The record is from RNAcentral.
UACCGUGAGGGAAAGGUGAAAAGAACCCUAAGUAAGGGAGUGAAAGAGAACCUGAAACCGUACGCCUACAAGCGGUCGGAGCACAUUUACUGUGUGACGGCGUGCCUUUUGCAUAAUGAGCCUACGAGUUACUGUUGCUAGCAAGGUUAAGGAUUUAAGGUCCGGAGCCGAAGCGAAAGCGAGUCUGAAUAGGGCGACCAUAGUUAGUAGUAGUAGACGCGAAACCGAGUGAUCUACCCAUGGGCAGGUUGAAGCUGUGGUAACACACAGUGGAGGACCGAACCAGUUGACGUUGAAAAGUCUUUGGAUGACCUGUGGGUAGGGGUGAAAGGCCAAUCAAACUCGGAAAUAGCUCGUACUCCCCGAAAUGCAUUUAGGUGCAGCGUUGAAUAAAAGUUUUAUAGAGGUAGA